GAGGGUAUAGCUCAGUGAUAGAGCACAUGUCUGGCGUGCACGAAGUCCUGGGUUCAAUUCCUAGUACCCCCG
RNAcentral lists this transfer RNA (72 nucleotides) under Camelus bactrianus (Bactrian camel). It matches the Rfam family "tRNA". Rfam says of the family: Transfer RNA (tRNA) molecules are approximately 80 nucleotides in length. Their secondary structure includes four short double-helical elements and three loops (D, anti-codon, and T loops). The record is from Rfam by way of RNAcentral. RNAcentral also lists the same sequence under 2 other names. Lineage: Eukaryota; Metazoa; Chordata; Mammalia; Artiodactyla; Camelidae.